GAUGAGAACGAAGUGACACUGAAGUUUGAAGUUGGGUGACAUGCUGGCCUUGCCUCUGCAGCUGCUGUGCUCUGCUCCGGAAGUCCUGGGCUUUCCUUCCCACACCCUCACGCAGACUGAGAGCUGGAAGCUGGUAGCUACUCUGCCAUCAUCCUAUCUUACGGAAGGUGCUGAUUUUCUGAGACCAGAGGAAUACACAGUUGACUGUUCCCCUACCUGCUCCUUUUCUCUGGCAACAUGUGGAUUAGCGUACCCUCCCUCUUUCCCCUUCAGCCUGCUGUUCCCCUUUAAAUACUGAAGCCCUUAAAUUCAUCUUUGGAGAACGGCACAGACCACAGACUGUUUUGUGAUUACUUGUUCUUUUCUUCCAGGCAUACCCUUAACCUUGGCAAAAUAAACUUCUAAAUUAAUUGAGA
Sapajus apella (tufted capuchin) is the source of this 416-nucleotide long non-coding RNA. RefSeq lists it as uncharacterized. The record is from RefSeq and is a predicted model, not a curated record. NCBI's taxonomy places the organism in Eukaryota, Metazoa, Chordata, Mammalia, Primates, Cebidae. The transcript is spliced from 2 exons.